Molecule: ribosomal RNA, 804 nt
Filed under: uncultured bacterium
Lineage: Bacteria
Description: bacterial SSU rRNA
Rfam family: Bacterial small subunit ribosomal RNA
Source: RNAcentral
AGAGUUUGAUCCUGGCUCAGGACGAACGCUGGCGGCGUGCUUAACACAUGCAAGUCGAACGGUAAGGCUCUUCGGAGUACACGAGUGGCGAACGGGUGAGUAACACGUGAGCAACCUACCCUUGACACUGGGAUAACAGUUGGAAACAGCUGCUAAUACCGGAUACUACCUCGAUCGACAUCGAUUGAGGUGGAAAGCUCCGGCGGUCAUGGAUGGGCUCGCGGCCUAUCAGCUUGUUGGUGAGGUAACGGCUCACCAAGGCUUCGACGGGUAGCCGGCCUGAGAGGGCGACCGGCCACACUGGGACUGAGAUACGGCCCAGACUCCUACGGGAGGCAGCAGUGGGGAAUAUUGCGCAAUGGGCGAAAGCCUGACGCAGCAACGCCGCUGCGGGAUGAGGGCCUUCGGUUGUAAACCGCUUUCGCAGGGACGAAGCAACACGUGACGGUACCCUGCAGAAGAAGCACCGGCCAACUACGUGCCCGCAGCCGCGGUGAUACGUAGGGUGCGAGCGUUGUCCGGAAUUAUUGGGCGUAAAGAGCUUGUAGGCGGUUUGUCGCGUCGAAAGUGAAAACUCAGGGCUCAACCCUGAGCCUGCUCUCGAUACGGACAGACUAGAGGAAUGUAGGGGAGAACGGAAUUCUUGGUGGAGCGGUGGAAUGCGCAGAUAUCAGGAGGAACACCGGUGGCGAAGGCGGUUCUCUGGACAUUUCCUGACGCUGAGAAGCGAAAGCGUGGGUAGCAAACAGGCUUAGAUACCCUGGUAGUCCACGCCGUAAACGGUGGGUACUAGGUGUGGGGGAC